This is a long non-coding RNA of Gallus gallus (chicken), 1791 nucleotides long. The record is from Ensembl. Lineage: Eukaryota; Metazoa; Chordata; Aves; Galliformes; Phasianidae.
UAAGCUUAUGCAUGGAACUGUCUUGCAUUUCAGUUCCCCGGGGAUAUCACUUAGGGAGCCUUGGCUCCACAGAUCAGAACGGUCCAUGCCCAGCUUCAGGAAACUGGCACAUCUAGUCGUUCAUCUGCCACCUGCUGAGGACAGGUUUAGGCAGGGGGAUCCCCCUCUUCAGCAGAGUAGUAUGUCUGACUGACUUACUACAGCUUUACUCAGAUCAGUGCACUGUAUGAAGUGAGGACAAGCCAGGCUUUGCUGACCCCUCACAUCACUGAACAACCUGUAGUUUUUGUCACCACGACUGUGAUGGAACCAGGAACCCACUUCAACUCUGACAUCCUGUACACCAGAGAAGCAGCAAGCAGUGUUGUUGCCCAGCUUUGCAGGUCCCUUACUUGCCCAGUUGAACAUGUAGCCACGUGGCAGGUCCCUUCUAGCACCACAGCCUCCAUGUGGAUCCCAGUAACAGAAGGUUCUGGGAGCCGCACUGCUGUUGUAGCUGAAGGCUGGAGCACUGGGUGCUGUAUAUGAGGCCUGCUCCAAAAGUAAUGCCUCCUAUUUUAUUAUGUUGGCCCACAGCGUCAGUGGCGGAUGUUGGUGGUACAGCAGUAGAGGUUGAACCUCCCCAUCUCCGUCCCCAUUACAUCCUGUUGCUGUGUGGCAGAUGGCAGCAGAGGGGCACUCUGACAGAAUGCCAUCUGACAUGGAGGUGUGCAUGAAGCAAAGGUGUGUCAUUGAAUUCCUCCAUUUGGAAAAAAUGGCACCCAUUGACACUUACCAGAUGGUUCUGGAGUCCAAACAGUGCACGUGAGCACUGUGAUGCAGUGAAUGUUGCAUUUCAGCAGUGAUGACAGUGAUGUGUCAGACAAGCCACAACCUGGACAGCCAUGCACAGCUGUCACACCAUGAAAUGAAGAGUACCUCCAUCAGCUCACCUGUGUGAAUCAGCACAUUAGGACCAGGGAACCGUGUGUGGAGGUGAAUGCUGGCUUCAAUGCAUUGCAAUACCACAAAGCUUGCAUCAGGUGUGUCCUACAAAUGCUCACACAGGAACAGAAAGAAUGCAGUCUGAGUAGGACCCAUUGAACCAAUACAAGGCUGAAGGUGAGUUUCCUGGAGAUGAGAUGUGGUUCCACCACUGCAAGCCAGAGUUUGACCAGCAGCCCAUGGAGUGGUGGCGUGUAAAUUCCCCAUAGAGAAAAGGUUCACGCAGCCCUCAGCAAAUAGGGUGCUGUGCAGAGCCUUCUGGGAGGGCAACCUGGACAAACCAGCGGCUCUAAAUGCUAUGCUGCCGUGCUGGCUGAGCUGAAGGCUCCAGCUUCCCCCUGGCUGUUAGGUCAGUGCUGUUACGUAUCACCGCGUGCAUUCGGAGCUGGGAAUUUCUGGGCUGCUUUAGAUUGGUAAAUAGCCAUUAUACAGAAGCUUCAAUUUAAAAAAAAAAGGGGGGGGAAAAAUCACUGACAGUGUUUUCGUGGACAUACCCACAUGUAUUUGCUGGAUUAACGCGCGCUCUCUGGCUCAGUGGGCGAGUGAGUGGUUUUAGAAACGCUCUGCGAUCCGCUGUCAAUGCACUGCAGCACGGCAGCGGGCACGGCAGGCGCGGAGCGCUGAGCGCUGCACGGAGCCCCGGGCGCGCACCGCUCUGUGCCAGCCCUGCGCACAGCAGCGCGUCGCGCGGCGCCGUUCCUUAGCGACGAUCUUGACGUACGGCCGCUCGAUUUCUUAAAGAGCUCAACUAUGAAAAAGCAAGACACGGGGAAAGCCGAAUGUAGCGGCGGCUCUGAGGAUGGGGAC